GCAAGACGGAGCAAAAGAGCCAGAGGAGUGCAGGAAGAGACAGUGGAAGCGUGGGUCGGCCCCUGAGACAUGUACUGAGUGGAUGUGGAAUGACAGCACAAGCCCAAUUAGUCUUGGAUGCCAGGGCUGCUACAGGGAGGUCGGUGCAAGUGAUCAAGCCAUUCAUGCAUUCAAGCACUCGCCUGCAGGCAUUAUCCGCCAACAGCCUGGCUCGAGUAUUACCUCAUCCCACUCAGAGGCAAAGGAAGGCAUGCGCUCCAUGGAUGGUUGCCCAGAGCUGCAGUUAGAGACAGAGCCACUGCGGCCAGCCAGACUUCCAUCGUCCUCGCUGACGGGUGAUGCCAACAAGUCAGAGUCCGACUUGGACAAACUUCGAGUCAGCACCAGGUCCGCAGGUCUGACUUUGACUGCCACAGCUGAUGCAGACUUGGCUGAAACUUUACCUGACUCCUUGAUGUCAGCCUUUGGAUUCUGGAUCACCUUGACGCAGUUGGCAUUCGCCAUUGUUUUGGAGCUGCCAAGUGCAGUUCAGGAUCCUUAGUUUGCUGCAGUACUUUGACUUGUUUAGUCAGUCCAGAGAGUCGUCCAGAGUCUUUGUAGAACUUAAAAAGUUCUGGUGUUGGAAAACCAAUCACUGUUAGAGCUGAAAGAACCAGAUACAUGAAAUGUAAUUACAGAAGACUGAUUUAAUCUACCUGCACGCAAACAUGCUCCAACUCAUGCCAAGUGCUCUUGUUUAGAGGGAAACGGAGCAAAGAAGUGAGAGACUUAUUGUACACAGAAACAAUCAUCAGGGACCACCCACUAGUUGUAUCCUGUUGCCCUCCCCUUAGUGACUCGUUGCAUCAAAGAGUCCCUCUCCUGACUUUUUUGACACUCCUAGUUGCUGAGAUUAGAUUAUCUAUGUCACAUGUUCGUGUAGUCCUUGAAUGAAUGAAUAUUCUCAGAAGAAUCUAAACUAUAAUGGAAAGCUCCAGUGCAUUUCCAUGAGCACAUAAGACAAACAUACUACACACAGAUCAGUUCAGUACAUAGUGCUUUAAGGAGCAGGAUGCCUGACUUCAACUCACUAUCAGCUAAAACGAACUAAACUUUUAAGUGUGUACUCUUACCUGUUUGCUCAUUUAUGUCCAGUUCUCUCCCUGCUCCAUGUUCUUAUGUCCAUCCUGUUCUGUGGUUGUUUUCAGACUCUUCAAGAAGACAAGCUCGGUCCCGUAGUGAGGAUCAGAAGACGAGAGGAUCCCAAAGCCUGGCCUUAUUCAGAGUGACAGGUGGGGUAAUCAGGUUACUGAUGCACGUGGUGGCUGCUCCGUUUAAAAGCAGGGAGCGAUAGGAUUCCUCCUUUGUUGUCUAUGUUUGUGUGAGACUGAGAUUACUGAGCUUAGUUUUGUUAUAGUGGGUACAGUACAUGUGUAUAUUCAGAUCAUUGUCCAACCAGCAUAGAGUGCAUAUCAACUUAUACACAUCUAGUUUUUAUUUAAACUUGUAGUUUAAAGUUGCCCACAGUAAAAUAAUUUUUUUCUAAAUUAGCCUGUAAUUUUGAUCUAUAAUAAACUUUGAUGUACAUAAUUUACAUGCACAAGUUACUGCACAAUCUUGUCCCAUU
Long non-coding RNA from Anabas testudineus (climbing perch), 1606 nucleotides. NCBI's taxonomy places the organism in Eukaryota, Metazoa, Chordata, Actinopteri, Anabantiformes, Anabantidae. The record is from Ensembl.